This 253-nucleotide ribosomal RNA is filed under the name uncultured bacterium. RNAcentral's name for it is "partial 16S ribosomal RNA". It matches the Rfam family "Bacterial small subunit ribosomal RNA", at positions 524 to 776 of the family's 1533-position model. The record is from RNAcentral.
UGCGAAGGGGACUAGCGUUGUUCGGAAUUACUGGGCGUAAAGCGCACGUAGGCGGAUUUGUUAGUCAGGGGUGAAAUCCCGGGGCUCAACCUCGGAACUGCCUUUGAUACUGCAAAUCUCGAGUCCGAUAGAGGUGGGUGGAAUUCCUAGUGUAGAGGUGAAAUUCGUAGAUAUUAGGAAGAACACCGGUGGCGAAGGCGGCCCACUGGAUCGGUACUGACGCUGAGGUGCGAAAGCGUGGGGAGCAAACAGG